UACGGGGGGGGCAAGCGUUGUUCGGAAUUACUGGGCGUAAAGGGCUCGUAGGUGGCCAACUAAGUCAGACGUGAAAUCCCUCAGCUUAACUGGGGAACUGCGUCUGAUACUGGAUGGCUUGAGUUUGGGAGAGGGAUGCGGAAUUCCAGGUGUAGCGGUGAAAUGCGUAGAUAUCAGGAGGAACACCUGCGGUGUAGACAGCUUUCUGGACCACUUCUGACGCUGAGACACGAAAGCGUGGGUAGCAAACAGG
RNAcentral lists this ribosomal RNA (253 nucleotides) under uncultured bacterium. RNAcentral describes it as "partial 16S ribosomal RNA". It matches the Rfam family "Bacterial small subunit ribosomal RNA", at positions 524 to 776 of the family's 1533-position model. The record is from RNAcentral.